RNAcentral lists this ribosomal RNA (319 nucleotides) under uncultured eukaryote. Its description in RNAcentral is "partial 18S ribosomal RNA". It matches the Rfam family "Eukaryotic small subunit ribosomal RNA", at positions 1470 to 1796 of the family's 1831-position model. The record is from RNAcentral.
CCCUUAGAUGUUCUGGGCAGCACGCGCGCUACAAUGGUCUUCGCAAACGGAUGCAUUCUCGAAGGAGAAUGCCAAUCUUGGAAUCUAUGCCUUGGUCGGGACAGUUGCUUGCAAUUUUUCGACUCGAACCAGGAAUUCCUUGUAAUCGUGAUUCCUCACAUCACGAUGAAUACGUCCCUGCCCUUUGUACACACCGCCCGUCGCUCCUACCGAUCGAAGAGUUAGGUGAAUUGUUUUGAUCGAUAAGAUUUGACUAUGGUCAACUCUCGUUGUGAAAUUCUGUGAAUCUGACUGUUUAGAGGAAGGAAAAGUCGUAACA